CUACGGGUUGCACCAGUGGGGAAUAUUGGACAAUGGGCGCAAGCCUGAUCCAGCCAUACCGCGUGGGUGAAGAAGGCCUUCGGGUUGUAAAGCCCUUUUGUUGGGAAAGAAAUCCUGUCGGUUAAUAACCGGUGGGGAUGACGGUACCCAAAGAAUAAGCACCGGCUAACUUCGUGCCACGCAGCCGCGGUAAUACGAAGGGUGCAAGCGUUACUCGGAAUUACUGGGCGUAAAGCGUGCGUAGGUGGUGGUUUAAGUCUGCUGUGAAAGCCCUGGGCUCAACCUGGGAAUUGCAGUGGAUACUGGAUCACUAGAGUGUGGUAGAGGGAUGCGGAAUUUCUGGUGUAGCAGUGAAAUGCGUAGAGAUCAGAAGGAACAUCCGUGGCGAAGGCGGCAUCCUGGGCCAACGCUGACACUGAGGCACGAAAGCGUGGGGAGCAAACAGGAUUAGAUACCCCCGUAGUC
This 465-nucleotide ribosomal RNA is filed under the name uncultured bacterium. RNAcentral's name for it is "partial 16S ribosomal RNA". It matches the Rfam family "Bacterial small subunit ribosomal RNA", at positions 339 to 795 of the family's 1533-position model. The record is from RNAcentral.